UGAAAGUUGCAUAGUAGAUAUUGUUUUGAGAAUGGAGGAGGAUUUUUUUUUACAGUUACCCUAGAUGAGAUCUCAUAUUUUAUGCCAACGUUUAAUCAACGUAUUAAUCUACUGAAACACUUUUGAAAGAAACUACAAAAACAAAUAAAGUAGUUAUAAUUGUCAUGAAUG
This is a long non-coding RNA of Rhododendron vialii, 171 nucleotides long. RefSeq lists it as uncharacterized. The record is from RefSeq and is a predicted model, not a curated record. Lineage: Eukaryota; Viridiplantae; Streptophyta; Magnoliopsida; Ericales; Ericaceae. The transcript has 2 exons.